CCUACGGGUGGCAGCAGUGGGGAAUAUUGGACAAUGGGGGGAACCCUGAUCCAGCCAUGCCGCGUGUGUGAAGAAGGCCCUCGGGUUGUAAAGCACUUUCAGUGAGGAAGAACGCCUGGUGGUUAAUACCCAUCAGGAAAGACAUCACUCACAGAAGAAGCACCGGCUAACUCCGUGCCAGCAGCCGCGGUAAUACGGAGGGUGCGAGCGUUAAUCGGAAUUACUGGGCGUAAAGCGCGCGUAGGUGGCUUGAUAAGCCGGUUGUGAAAGCCCCGGGCUCAACCUGGGAACGGCAUCCGGAACUGUCAAGCUAGAGUGCAGGAGAGGAAGGUAGAAUUCCCGGUGUAGCGGUGAAAUGCGUAGAGAUCGGGAGGAAUACCAGUGGCGAAGGCGGCCUUCUGGACUGACACUGACACUGAGGUGCGAAAGCGUGGGUAGCAAACAGGAUUAGAUAUCCGAGUAGUC
RNAcentral lists this ribosomal RNA (465 nucleotides) under Vreelandella stevensii. Its description in RNAcentral is "partial 16S ribosomal RNA". It matches the Rfam family "Bacterial small subunit ribosomal RNA", at positions 338 to 795 of the family's 1533-position model. The record is from RNAcentral. Lineage: Bacteria; Pseudomonadati; Pseudomonadota; Gammaproteobacteria; Oceanospirillales; Halomonadaceae.